Molecule: long non-coding RNA, 1255 nt
Organism: Oncorhynchus keta (chum salmon)
Lineage: Eukaryota; Metazoa; Chordata; Actinopteri; Salmoniformes; Salmonidae
Exons: 3
Source: RefSeq, a predicted model, not a curated record
ACAGGAAAUGCUCAACUAAGGCAGUGUUCCAAACCAUAAACGUGUUUUUUGUUUUUUUUGGUUUCACCUAUCCAGACCUUCCUUUAUCUGUGAUGGUAAAUGACUAAGAGGCAAGGAGACAAAGUUUGAGUUUGGAACAUGGCCAAAGUGUCUACGGGACGGUUCACAGACAGACACUGUGUUGUGUUCUAAUCAAGACACGGUGUUCUAAUCAAGACACGGUGUUCUAAUCAAGACACGAUGUUCUAAUCAAGACACGGUGUUCUAAUCAAGACACGAUGUUCUAAUCAAGACACGAUGUCUAAUCAAGACACGGUGUUCUAAUCAAGACACGGUGUUCUAAUCAAGACACGAUGUUCAAAUCAAGACACGGUGUUCUAAUCAAGACACGAUGUACUAAUCAAGACAAGGUGUUCUAAUAAAGACACGGUGUUCUAAUCAAGACACGGUGUUCUAAUCAAGACACGGUGUUCUAAUAAAGACACAGUGUUCUAAUCAAGACACAAUGUUCUAAUCAAGACACGGUGUUCUAAUCAAGACACGGUGUUCUAAUCAAGACACGGUGUUCUAAUCAAGACACGGUGUUCUAAUCAAGACACGAUGUUCUAAUCAAGACACAGUGUUCUAAUCAAGACACGAUGUUCUAAUCAAGGCACAGUGUUCUAAUCAAGACACGGUGUUCUAAUCAAGACACAAUGUUCAAAUCAAGACACAGUGUUCUAAUCAAGACACAAUGUUCUAAUCAAGACAAGGUGUUCUAAUAAAGACACAGUGUUCUAAUCAAGACACGGUGUUCUAAUCAAGACACAGUGUUCUAAUCAAGACACAGUGUUCUAAUCAAGACACGGUGUUCUAAUCAAGACACAAUGUUCAAAUCAAGACACAGUGUUCUAAUCAAGACACAAUGUUCUAAUCAAGACAAGGUGUUCUAAUAAAGACACAGUGUUCUAAUCAAGACACGGUGUUCUAAUCAAGACACGGUGUUCUAAUCAAGACACGAUGUUCUAAUCAAGACACGAUGUUCUAAUCAAGACACGAUGUUCUAAUCAAGACAAGGUGUUCUAAUAAAGACAGUGUUGUGUUCUAAUCAAGACACGGUGUUCUAAUCAAGACACAGUGUUCUAAUCAAGACACGGUGUUCUUAUCAACACACCGAUCACAACUACUUGGCAAAACAUUCUCUCUUGAGUUUUAGACAUAAAGACACAAACAAAUAAACACAGUCACACAAGUCCAAAUUGCUACAGUGCAAAGA